GACGAACGCUGGCGGCGUGCUUAAUACAUGCAAGUCAACUUGACUUUAGAUAGCAAUAUCGAAAAGUAGGGUGGCGCACGGGUGCGUAACGCGUAGGUAAUCUGCCCUGAGGUCUGACAUAACCCGUCGAAAGGCGGGCUAACAUCAGAUGAUAUAUAAUCACGACAUCGUGGAAAUAUCAAAUCUUCGGAGCCUUGGGAUGAGCCUGCGUCUGAUUAGGUAGUUGGCGGAGUAAUAGCCCACCAAGCCUACGAUCAGUAGCUGGUCUGAGAGGAUGAUCAGCCACACUGGAACUGAGACACGGUCCAGACUCCUACGGGAGGCAGCAGUAAGGAAUAUUGCUCAAUGGGGGAAACCCUGAAGCAGCAACGCCGCGUGAAGGAUGAAAUACUUUUGUAUGUAAACUUCUGUAAGAUGGGAAAAAUAUUACUCCUCGGGAGAAUUGAUUGUACCAUCAGAGUAAGCCCCGG
Molecule: ribosomal RNA, 470 nt
Filed under: uncultured bacterium
Lineage: Bacteria
Description: bacterial SSU rRNA
Rfam family: Bacterial small subunit ribosomal RNA
Source: RNAcentral